UACUGGAGCAGGUCCAGAGAAGGGCAACAAGGCUAGUGAAGGGCUUGGAAAAUCAGCCCUAUGAGGAGAGGCUGAGGGAGCUGUGGCUGUUUAAUCUGGGGAAGAGGAGGCUGAGGGGAGACUUUAUUACUCUCUUCCAGUACCUGAAAGGUGUUUACAGUGAGAGCGGGGUAGGUCUCUUCUCACUGGUGACAGGUGACAAGAGGAGGGGAAAUGGCCUCAAGUUGCACCAAGGUUUCCAGGGUAGGACUGAGCAGCUGCUCUGCUGCUGUCUGCUGCAUAAACACCAGAGGGGAUUGGAAGAAGAGUCAUAAAACCAACUGAGGAACAUCUUAUUCACCUAUGCAAAGGGUGCUAUCCCACUAAGACUACUGACAAAUAACAGUGAAACAAGUCUGCAGUUUCACAAAAGCUCAUUUCACCAAGGACUGAAGAAGAAAGCAAGUUAGUAGCUAAGUCAUUAUUAAUUCCCUUUGGCUGCUACUAAACUCUGGCAUCAAUGAGAAGGAGCCAAGAAAAAUCCUUGGGAAUAGAGAAUGUCUGGUUACAAUCAUGAUGCAGGUGCCUAAUCUGUCACAUGAGAGUCCGAGACAAAAUUUAAAUGAUUGAACUCACUCGCUGAAAAACGAGACUUGAGAUUGCAAGUUAACUAUAAAAGCUCUACUACAAAAUUAACUACAAUCAGUGGGCCAUUGUAAGAAACAACAGCAGAAGAACGCAUUCAAAGGAAACUAUGCAUAUCAUUACCCUGAGUUGAUUUUCCUUUUGCUUUAGGGAUUCACUAAGUCAACUCUCUGCCUGCCUGAGUUAAUGACCAUUCAGCAGCUUAUCCCUCCAGCUGCUAAGACCUCUCAAACCUAGAAUCCCUUUUUGACUAUAGCUGGCCAACUGAUCCCCAGAAUUGUAGAAAUCAUUACAAUUUUCCAUAAUAUUUAACUUUAAACGGUGCCUGGGCAGGAUUCUACCAGUUGCUGAUUCACCUGGAAGUAUUUUCUUCAUCUAUACUGAGUGGUUGGAAUUGGAGAGGGGCGAUGCUGUAAAGUCUACAGGACAUUAUAAUAAAGAC
Gallus gallus (chicken) is the source of this 1066-nucleotide long non-coding RNA. The record is from Ensembl. NCBI's taxonomy places the organism in Eukaryota, Metazoa, Chordata, Aves, Galliformes, Phasianidae.